RNAcentral lists this long non-coding RNA (1130 nucleotides) under Mus pahari (shrew mouse). RNAcentral describes it as "lncRNA (MGP_PahariEiJ_G0002964.1)". The record is from RNAcentral. Lineage: Eukaryota; Metazoa; Chordata; Mammalia; Rodentia; Muridae.
CUCCCUAGGUCACGGCAUCCUCCCCGCGAGGUCCCAUCUUCCACGGAGGCUCCGUUAGGUCAGCCAGUCCCGGCCACUGCGGGGCCCACAGUCCCGAAGCAGGCCCUCGGGUGGCGGGCGAGAAAGCCGCUCCUCCCAGGCUGGUCCCCACGGACCCAGCGGGGAAAGUGGUCUGGGGAAGGGUUUCCACCCGCUUCACAGGGAAGAAGUGGCUUCGACGUAGUGUUGGACAAGCUAGGAGGAGGGCUUAGGCCACCUUUAGCCCACGGAUGCCAAGAUGAUAUCUACUGGCAGCUCCUCUGAGCUUCUGGCUGUCACCUGCAUCGUCACUGUGUCCAAAAGCAGAAGCCGAGACCGCACAAGGAUGUCAUGACCACCCCGGAACACUCCUCUCACUUAGCAGAUACCUGCCACUGUGGGGACAUGGUGGGCUUCAGGACACAGAGCAAGCCCGAGGUACCCAAUAUAAGUGGCACUGCUUCAUCCGACAACAGUCAUUUCUCCAGCAGAUUCUGUACUUCAACUGUGUCCUCUAGGCCCAAAAUAGACGGAACCCUAUUGUCAUCUCAGCUGUGAAUGUAACAUAACACUCCCAUUCAGUCAGCCUGCACUGGCAGUGUCCACGCAACAAAUUCUUUUUUCAUUCUUCCAACAGAUCUUCACAGAAAACUGUUCUUGCAGGUGUUUACAGGGCAUAUAUACAGCAACCAAUGUAGUGAAAGGCAAGCCCUAGCUAUAGCUCCUGGGAGAAGAGGUCUUAAGGCAUUUCCUGCCUCAGUCAUUUUGGCUCAGGAAUGGCCAUCUCUACUUUGGUCCUUAUUCUAUACAAGUGUGAAUGUCAGAUGCAUGCUAGUGACUAAGGAACUGUGGCCCAGCAGAGCAAAGGGGCCCAAUUAUCUAGAAAGCAACAUUAUAAGAGCAAUUCAAGUCUUAAAAAUCUUGCUUUCCUUUUGAGCCAAUUAAGAAUUAUCCUAAGAAAAAUAAUCAGAAAUGUGCUGGGCAUGGAGGUGCAUGCCUUUAACACCAGAACUCAGGAGGCAAAGGCAGGCAGAUCUUCAAAGUGAGUCCAGGACAGCAAGGGUUCUGUUAUACAGAAAAACCCCAUCUUGAAUCGUCCCNCCCCCCCCCCC